This 1254-nucleotide ribosomal RNA is filed under the name Triticum aestivum (bread wheat). Its description in RNAcentral is "partial small subunit ribosomal RNA". Lineage: Eukaryota; Viridiplantae; Streptophyta; Magnoliopsida; Poales; Poaceae. The record is from RNAcentral.
CGACACGCGACAGCAGCACCUCGGUCUCUGCUGCUCGUCCUCCUCCUCCUCCUAGAGUUCUAGUAGUAGUCAUCCCUUCCUCUCCGCCACCGCUCUUCCUUGGCAGAUUGCUCUGACUUCGCUUCUGGCGUUAUCCUUCCUCCCUACUGCUCCUCCUCCUAGUAGCCAUCCUUUCCACUCCGCCGUGCGCGACACUGUCUAUCACCACCAUAGUCAUGCCGCAGCUCGAUCUGCUGCUCCCAAGCGCAGCCACCUCGUCCCCGACCCCGAGCUCCUUCUUCGUCGACGACCGAAUCCACGACCAGGACCCCGUCACCCCCCUACCUUCUUUCCCCCGUCAUCUCCCUCUUCCCUUCUUCUCUGUUUCUCCCGUUUACUCUCAUCUCCCUCUAUCUCUCUUCCUCUUUGUUACAGCCUUACAGGGAGGCCGCCAUGGACGCCCGGGGUCCUCCGCUCCGACCCUCGCUGUGGCGGCUCUGCCGACUUCGUCGCCUAAGAAGACUACCAUGCCCGCUUCAGGAGCUUCGAGCCGACCCCCGCAACAUGGAGACCACCGCCGCCCUUCCGACAUCGAGAAUCGCCAGAUCCGGCCCGUCUCCGACCUACCUCGCCGUCCUUCGCCCGUUCCGACGUCUCCCCGGCGCUAGGAGCUCAGGCGAGCGCAGCCACAAGACCCUGACUUCUCUGCCCCAGAUCCCGCCAUGGUGGUCGUCGCCUCUCCGUCUCUAUCUGUCCAUCGCCGGAUCCACGCUGGUGUCCUCCAGGGACCCGCCAUGGAGGUUGCCGCCUCUCCCGUCUCGAUCCGUCCGCCGCCGGAUCGACGAGGGAGCAGCCGAGAUCCGCCGCCCAUUCCGCGACGCCUCGGCCGGCAGGAAGGCCAAAGGCCUCGCCAAGCAGCAGGAGGACUUGCGGCUAGGCUCGCCUGCCGCAAGCGCGCCCGCGAGCUCACCCCCGUGCCGGCCAAGGCCACCUUUGGUGACUUUCAUGUCCGCCGCGCUCUCGUACGCCUGCCGCGACGCCAGGGGCUUUUUUGCAAAAACGAAACGUUAUAUCAGGAACACACUGAAAAUAGGACUGCGGGUUUAUUUCGAAGAAACAGAGGGGCUUUCCCGACUCCGUGCUUUAUUAGUAUAUAUAGGGAAAGAUUUGUCCUAGUAUGUAUGUAAAUUGUGAAGAUCAAAUAUACCGGAGGGCCGCUGUUGGAGACGUGGCGUCCUAAAUUUUUUAGGUCUGCUGUUGGAGAUGAAUAUUUUG